Non-coding RNA from Pelobates cultripes (western spadefoot toad), 410 nucleotides. NCBI's taxonomy places the organism in Eukaryota, Metazoa, Chordata, Amphibia, Anura, Pelobatidae. The record is from the annotation of a GenBank genome assembly.
CAGGUCCUGGAAGGUCAGUAACACAGCCAGUAACACAGCAAGGUCCUGGAAGGUAAGUAACACAGCCAUUAACACAGCCAGGUCCUGGAAGGUAAGUAGCACAGCCAGGUCCUGGAAGGUAAGUAACACAACCAUUAACACAGCCAGGUCCUGGAAGGUCAGUAACACAGCCAGGUCCUGGAAGGUAAGUAACACAGCCAUUAACACAGCAAGGUCCUGGAAGGUAAGUAACACGGGCAGGUCCUGGAAGGUAAGUAACACAGCCAUUAACACAGCCAGGUCCUGGAAGGUAAGUAACACAGCCAAGUCCUGGAAGGUAAGUAACACAGCCAGUAACACAGCCAGUUCCUGAAAGGUAAGUAACACAGCCAGUAACACAGCCAGGUCCUGGAAGGUAAGUAACACAGCCA